AACGGCCGUACCAUGCUGAAUAUACCGGUUCUCGUUAGAUCACCGAAGUUAAGCAUCAUUGGGCGCGGUCAGUACUUGGGUGGGUGACCACCUGGGAACACUGAGUGCCGUU
This 112-nucleotide ribosomal RNA is filed under the name Caerostris darwini. The record is from RNAcentral. Lineage: Eukaryota; Metazoa; Arthropoda; Arachnida; Araneae; Araneidae.